Lentinus tigrinus ALCF2SS1-7 is the source of this 86-nucleotide non-coding RNA. Lineage: Eukaryota; Fungi; Basidiomycota; Agaricomycetes; Polyporales; Polyporaceae. The record is from the annotation of a GenBank genome assembly.
GCCCGCCUAGCUCAAUCGGAUAGAGCGUGAGACUUUUACGCUUACGUAACAUCUCAAGGCUGCGGGUUCGACCCCCGCGGUGGGCU